RNAcentral lists this ribosomal RNA (431 nucleotides) under uncultured bacterium. RNAcentral describes it as "partial 16S ribosomal RNA". It matches the Rfam family "Bacterial small subunit ribosomal RNA", at positions 30 to 507 of the family's 1533-position model. The record is from RNAcentral.
CGAACGCUGGCGGCAUGCCUCACACAUGCACGUCGAACGAGACCUUCGGGUCUAGUGGCGCACGGGUGCGUAACGCGUGGGAACCUGCCCUUAGGUUCGGAAUAACUCCCCGAAAGGGGUGCUAAUACCGGAUAAUGUCUUCGGACCAAAGAUUUAUCGCCUUUGGAUGGGCCCGCGUUGGAUUAGCUAGUUGGUAGGGUAAAAGCCUACCAAGGCGACGAUCCAUAGCUGGUCUGAGAGGAUGAUCAGCCACACUGGGACUGAGACACGGCCCAGACUCCUACGGGAGGCAGCAGUGGGGAAUAUUGGACAAUGGGCGAAAGCCUGAUCCAGCAAUGCCGCGUGAGUGAUGAAGGCCUUAGGGUUGUAAAGCUCUUUUACCCGGGAUGAUAAUGACAGUACCGGGAGAAUAAGCUCCGGCUAACUCCGUG